GCUAUGGCUCAGUGGUAGAGCAUCUGCUUGGUAUGCAAAAGGUCUCAAGUUCUGCCCCUGGCAUCUGCA
Molecule: transfer RNA, 69 nt
Filed under: Sphaerodactylus townsendi
Lineage: Eukaryota; Metazoa; Chordata; Lepidosauria; Squamata; Sphaerodactylidae
Description: tRNA-Thr
Source: RNAcentral